GCUCCUUUGCGGUACUUGAGGAGAGGUCUUCCAUGAUGCAUUCGCUUUAUUUUUUGACGAAUCAUACAUGGUUGACCUUUUUUUAAGUAUCAUUUCUGGCCUU
RNAcentral lists this microRNA precursor (103 nucleotides) under Dasypus novemcinctus (nine-banded armadillo). The record is from RNAcentral. Lineage: Eukaryota; Metazoa; Chordata; Mammalia; Cingulata; Dasypodidae.